Long non-coding RNA from Condylura cristata (star-nosed mole), 272 nucleotides. RefSeq lists it as uncharacterized. The record is from RefSeq and is a predicted model, not a curated record. NCBI's taxonomy places the organism in Eukaryota, Metazoa, Chordata, Mammalia, Eulipotyphla, Talpidae. The transcript is spliced from 3 exons.
GGGACGAAUGCUCAUCACGCGCUGCCCCCGAGGAGUCCAGAGAGGGUCACGGCCCGUGCGGGCAGUAAGUGUGACCCAGCUUUUAACUGCCACGACAGAAGGAAAAGGCAGAGGAAUCCCCACGUUCCUCCCUCCCUGUCCCCCUCCCCUGCAGGAUCUCUCUGGUUUUAACUGCCCAAAGCUAGAUGACUGGACCCACCAGCUGCGGCACAUGCAGAGGGAAUACCACCCGGCGAUCAAAAACGCGUCUACAAUGGCCCUCCCUGGUGGCG